UACUUCGUAGCUCAAUGGUAGAGCAAUCAAAUCCUAAUUGAUGUGUUGCGGGUUCAAUCCCCGCCGAACUCGCAA
This 75-nucleotide transfer RNA is filed under the name Ereboglobus luteus. RNAcentral describes it as "tRNA-Arg". It matches the Rfam family "tRNA". From Rfam's summary of the family: Transfer RNA (tRNA) molecules are approximately 80 nucleotides in length. Their secondary structure includes four short double-helical elements and three loops (D, anti-codon, and T loops). Further hydrogen bonds mediate the characteristic L-shaped molecular structure. tRNAs have two regions of fundamental functional importance: the anti-codon, which is responsible for specific mRNA codon recognition, and the 3' end, to which the tRNAs corresponding amino acid is attached (by aminoacyl-tRNA synthetases). tRNAs cope with the degeneracy of the genetic code in two manners: having more than one tRNA (with a specific anti-codon) for a particular amino acid; and 'wobble' base-pairing, i.e. permitting non-standard base-pairing at the 3rd anti-codon position. The record is from RNAcentral. Lineage: Bacteria; Pseudomonadati; Verrucomicrobiota; Opitutia; Opitutales; Opitutaceae.